GAUGAACGCUGGCGGCGUGCCUAAUACAUGCAAGUCGAGCGAACAGACGAGGAGCUUGCUCCUCUGACGUUAGCGGCGGACGGGUGAGUAACACGUGGAUAACCUACCUAUAAGACUGGGAUAACUUCGGGAAACCGGAGCUAAUACCGGAUAAUAUAUUGAACCGCAUGGUUCAAUAGUGAAGGACGGUUUUGCUGUCACUUAUAGAUGGAUCCGCGCCGCAUUAGCUAGUUGGUAAGGUAACGGCUUACCAAGGCGACGAUGCGUAGCCGACCUGAGAGGGUGAUCGGCCACACUGGAACUGAGACACGGUCCAGACUCCUACGGGAGGCAGCAGUAGGGAAUCUUCCGCAAUGGGCGAAAGCUUGACGGAGCAACGCCGCGUGAGUGAUGAAGGUCUUCGGAUCGUAAAACUCUGUUAUUAGGGAAGAACAAAUGUGUAAGUAACUAUGCACGUCUUGACGGUACCUAAUCAGAAAGCCACGGCUAACUACGUGC
RNAcentral lists this ribosomal RNA (498 nucleotides) under uncultured bacterium. Its description in RNAcentral is "partial 16S ribosomal RNA". It matches the Rfam family "Bacterial small subunit ribosomal RNA", at positions 28 to 508 of the family's 1533-position model. The record is from RNAcentral.